RNAcentral lists this ribosomal RNA (450 nucleotides) under uncultured bacterium. RNAcentral's name for it is "bacterial SSU rRNA". It matches the Rfam family "Bacterial small subunit ribosomal RNA", at positions 116 to 586 of the family's 1533-position model. The record is from RNAcentral.
CGUGGGCAAUCUGCCCUCUAGCCUGGGAUAACAGUUCGAAAGGACUGCUAACACCGGAUAUGAUGGUAACACGGCAUCGUGAAGCCAUGAAAGUUUACACUAGAGGAUGAGCCCGCGUCCCAUUAGCUAGUUGGUGAGGUAACGGCCCACCAAGGCGACGAUGGGUAGCCGACCUGAGAGGGUGAACGGCCACACUGGGACUGAGACACGGCCCAGACUCCUACGGGAGGCAGCAGUAGGGAAUUUUCCGCAAUGGGCGAAAGCCUGACGGAGCAACGCCGCGUGAGGGAUGAAGGUCUUCGGAUCGUAAACCUUUGUCUAGAGGGACGAUAAUGACGGUACCUCUGGAGGAAGCCACGGCUAACUACGUGCCAGCAGCCGCGGUAAUACGUAGGUGGCAAGCGUUGUCCGGAAUUACUGGGCGUAAAGGGCGUGUAGGCGGCCUUUUAA